GUUAGCUCAGUUGGUAGAGCGCUCCACUUGUAAUGGAGAGGUCCCGGGUUCGAUACCCGGACUAGGCG
RNAcentral lists this transfer RNA (68 nucleotides) under Ixodes scapularis (black-legged tick). It matches the Rfam family "tRNA". Rfam says of the family: Transfer RNA (tRNA) molecules are approximately 80 nucleotides in length. Their secondary structure includes four short double-helical elements and three loops (D, anti-codon, and T loops). Lineage: Eukaryota; Metazoa; Arthropoda; Arachnida; Ixodida; Ixodidae. The record is from Rfam by way of RNAcentral.